GUUUUGGAGGUACAAGGUAAGGAACACUAGUAGAAAAACAUAAAUGUGUACCGAAGAAUGAGCACCGAUUCUUGGAAACCAGUGGCCCAAAAUACAUAAAGCACCGGUUAACCGAUGCCCCUUGAUUUUUUUUCUUUUUCUACAAUUCAAAUACAAGAGCAUCGAUUAACCGGUGCCCCUUUAUUUUUAUACAUUUCUAAAACACGCAUUAUUUCCCAAUUUAAUAACCACGCACUCACUCAGUCAUUCUCCUUUCUCUCUCCUCUCGUUCCCCCUUUCUCUCUUCUAUCACUUCACCGCCACUCCUUAGCUUCCCCACCACCACUCCUUAGCUUCCACCACCACCCCUUUCAUCGCCAGCCCACUUUAUCUCUCCAUUUCUUCUCUCUGUCAACUCUCGUUCUCCUUCUUCGAAAAUCAGCGUCAAUUCGAACCAAAUACAACCAUCGUCGUCGCCGCCGCCUAUUUCUUAAAUCAACAAUAAUGGAGGUUAGGGUUUGUAGGUGCGUUUUUCGCAUCAAUUGGAUGUUCGUGCUUCUUUAACAACAACAAAUACAAAUAAAUUUCGAAUAAAAAUUCAGAUAUUUGAGUUGAGUUUGGGAUGUCCAUGGAGCUAAUUUUGUCAAAGUUGACCAGGAUACUCUUCGAUCUCAUCCUUGUAUCCCUUUUUUUCUAUUUACUCUUGAUUUAAUUGUUUAAUUUCUGGAUUUGCUGUUUUUUUCCAUUGUUUAUUGAUUGGAUAAAAUAGGUGUUUUUUUGGAGGGUUUUAACUUAAAUUUUAAUUUGCUUAGGGUUGAUGUUAUGUAAGACUUGAAAGUGUUGUGUUGUGGAAAAUUUCUGAUUUGGAUAUUGAAAUUUGACUGUGGUGGAUAUUGGAUUAUGAGCCAGCAAUUUCAAUCUUGUGAUUUGCGUGAUUCUCGUAUUCAACCUGAUCGUCAUUGGUUUGGUACGUUUUUUCUUACGAAAUUGCUGUUAUUUUUUAUGCAAAUUUGAUAUAAUUUCAAUAAUUAUUGAAGGGAAAUUCUCAAUGGUAACCCCCUUUUUUUGGAUUAUACUAAAUGACCUUAGUUAACAAUUUCAUCCCACUCAUAACCUUAUUUCCUUAAAUAUUAACUAUGGUUAUAUUUAUAUUUUUUUAAAAAAAGAAAAUUAAAAAGUUAAUCCCAACCCCUAAUCCCCAUUGAUUCCAGCCAACCUCUCCUCCUUCUCCUCAUUUUCCACCGUUCCGGCCGGCCCACUCCCCAACCACCUCUUUGCCGCCCUCCCCCCAACCACCUCCUUGUCGCCCUCCCCCCAAACACCUCCUUGCUGCCCACAGCCGCCCUUGGUCGUCGAAUUGCAGCAGAUCGAAUCGGAGCUCGUGGCUAGGGAGAGCGACAAAGGCCGAAAUCGUGACGAAGAUGGGGUUUUCGAGGGUGGUGAGAUGAUUUUAUGGGCUGGAAAAGGGACAAGGGAAGAGGAGAGGGCCGAAAACUUGGCGGGGGAAGGAGGUCAGGAUCGGGACGGGGAAAGGUUCGAAGGUGUUUGGUGGUUCAAGGGGAGGGAUACGGCGGUCGGCACGUUCAAGGGGAGGGGUACGACGGUCGGAACCUGGGGUUUUUGAGGGUGAUGUUGCCUAGUUUGGUGAGGGAGGCGGUUUGGUGCUUCAUAGGAGGGGGUUCAGGCGAGCCGUCGGCGCUGCUGGGGAUCCUGGUGACCGGAGGCACGGGGCAGGGGUGUCAGGGGCGGCGGGGAAGGUUUAGGCUGGUGGUGGUUUAAAUAAUUAUUUAUUUUAUUUAUUUUUUUCUUUAAAAAAUAAUUUAACUUUUUUUGAAAUUGAUUUUAUUUUAUUUUUUUAAAAUAAUUUAACCUUAGUUAACCAUAGUUAGUUUUUUUUUUAAAUAAAUAACACUCAUUAAUGUCAUAUGUGAGAUAAAUUUCUUAAUUAGGGUCAUCUUGUAUAAUCCAAAAAAAGGGGGGGUUACCGUUGGUGCGUAGCAAAAGUUGGGGGUUACCGUUGAGAAUUUCCCAUUAUUGAAUUAUUAAGUUUUGGGAUUUGGAAGAAUUGAACCGAAGUAUUUGAUUGAACGUGAAAUUUGUCAAAUUGCAUAGAUGAUGAUUGAAUUGAUUGAUAUAGUAGUUUUGGGGUUUAAAAUCAGAUUACGCAACUCAGUAUAAUUACGAUUGAUCUAGGGUUUUGUUAAUUUGUUUCAAUAAUUGCGAUUGAUCUAGGAUUUUGUUAAUUUGAGCUUUUGGAAUUGUGAAUAUACGGAAUAUUUGAAUUAUGGGUACACGGAGUAUUUGACUUGUGAGUAUACAGAGUAUUUGAUACUUGAAUCUUGAAUUUCAGUAGUUUGAUUGUGGAUGUAUUGUGAAUAUUGUUUUGGUUGUCAUUUAAUUUGAUUUUUUAGGUAUAUAUUUUUUCAGGUAUAUUUUGAUUGAUUUCUUGAUUGUGGUAUGGGUAUAUUUUAAUCAGUUUUGGGUUUCUUUUGAUUAAAUAUGCAAAUUGAAUCUCAUUUGGUAGUGGAUAAUGGUGGAUUAUUUCAUUAUAUUUUGUUUCUAGUUUGUCUUCUUAUAUUGCCUUAUCGUACCAUAAUUGUUAAGUUUCUUGACAAGUAUAGCUCAGGAAUUAAAAUUGGGUUUUGGAUUGAUUUUCUGAGUUGUGUUUUUGCGUUUAUCGAAUGACUUGAAGCUUGAACCUGUUGCCCUGCUUCCCUGCAGUGCACCCCUGCUGCUGCUACUUUUUCUCUGCUGUAGCUGCUGCUUUUUCUCUACCGAGAUUGGGGACAGGUGUGGCUUUAAGCCUAUGUUUGUAUAUUAAUUUAUACUUGUUGCCUGCAACUAUGGCUUUAAUGUCUUCUGGAAAUGAUGACUUUGUUUGGGAGUAUUCUUGAUGAAGCCAUUGACAAGAUUGGGCUGAUGGUGUUAUCUCUAUUGAGUCGUUCUCAACCUCUGAAACUUACAUAAUUGUUGAAAAGGGAAUGAAGGUCUGCUUCUGUAUUUUACUGCCAUAAAUAAAAAAUGUUUUGUGCACCCUAGUUUCAUUAGAGGAGUGAUAAACUGAUAGCUGGCUGUUUGUACUCUGUAUCUCUCUCUCUCUCUCUCUCUCUCUCUCUCUCUCUCUCUCUCUCUCUCUCUCUCUCUCUCUCUCUCUCUCUCUCUCUCUCUCGUUUUGAAGGAUAUAGUUGCAUACAUUGAGUCAUCCUUGAACCUGGUUUGAUGGGAAAUCAACCAAAUAAUUAUUUCUUUUGAGCUUAUAAUAUGGAUCAAGUACAAAUUUAAUUGUUUUCUGGUUCAUUAGAAUGCAACCUUUAUCAUGUACUUGAUCCUUUGCUUUUUUUUUUUUUUUCUUUGGUUAUGAAAUUAUAUGAACUUAUUAGAGUAUGUUUUUAUUCUUAGGGAACUGUGUAGUAACAAUAUCAAGGGGCCAAUACCUAGUGAGCUGGGCAAUCUGACAAAUUUGGUCAGUUUGGAUCUCUAUUUGAAUAGUUUCAGCAGUCCAAUUCCGCCAUUGCGGAGUCUUUGGGCAGGCUAUCGAAGUUGUGCUUUCUGUAUGCAUACUAAUCCCUUGCCUGACUAAUUUAUCUAAGGACUAUACCUUAUUUACCUUUAACAUUUGCAUUGAAAUGUAUGUGUGUUGAAUGUAUGCAUGGCCUUAUGUGGUCCUAUGCUAUCUUUCUGGCUUUCUGCUAGUUGUUAAUGCGAAAAUGCAAGUUGAUAUGGCUUUCACGACUGCUCUUGAAUAAUUUAUUAUCCCUAGCUAUGGAAUAUUGACUGAGUGUAGAAAAGGGGGUUCUCUUAAUGCUUGCCAAUGACUUAUUAAUAUGUUUUGAGUCUGUGUAUUGAGAGGGUAUUUUGCUGUUUGUUUGUGUUGUUGUUUUAGACUCUAUAGAAUGUUUUCAUCUGCGAUUUUUAGUUGAUAAUUGUUUUUAUUUUGUGAUUUGGGUUUACUCUUUUGAUUUGGGUUUGUGUUAUUUUUGUUGUUGAUUUAUUUAUUGUUAUGAAAAGAUUGGUUAGUAUUGUGGGAUUUUUUUGUAAAAUUUGACAGGUUACAUAUGGAUCUGUAAUCAAAUUAGUGCAUGAAAUAACAAAAUUCAGGCUGCAUUCAGGUUGCUCUAUGUCCUAAUAUGGACGAUUCAUUCUCUUUAGUGCUGCUGCUGUUCUGCUACUGGGCUGCUGCUAUAUAUUUUUUUUUCCUUUUCUUUUCAAGUGUAAAAUUACAGGUUAUUAAGGAAAAUUAUCAGUUUCAAGUAUAUUAUGUAUAUCUAUAACAGUCUGGUGAUAAAUUCACAUGAAAAAAAAAAAUUAUUUUUUUGGGCAUUUUUUGCACCGUUAACCAGUGCCAAAAGUAAUGAAUUAUAUUUUUUGUAAAAGUGGGUACCUAUUAUUAGCACCGGUUAACCGGUGCCAAUAACAAGUAUUCCCCCGGUUCAAAACCGGUGCGAAUGGGGGGUUUUGAACCGGUGCGCAUUUGUAUUUUUCUACUAGUGGAGCAAUUGGUAUAAACAUGGGUUUGGGAGCAAUUGGUCUGAAUUUGUAGGGGCUGAACCACUAAGGGGUGAAGCUGACUUAGGGGUUGUCGGGGAGUAAGAUGAAGCAACCAUGUGACCCUGACCCCCCUGCAUACAAGGGUACAAUGUCCUGUAUUGAUGAUAUUCAUAAGGGAUCAUGGCUGGCCGAUAAACGGAAUGUACAUCGCUCGCAGACAACUUGGCAGGUGGAGUCUCCUGAAACACUAGUGAAAUACCCUAUUGAUCCAUCACUGUCCACCAUUUGGAUUCCUCCGAUAAAAUAAGGGCUGUAAGGGAAGACAAAUCCCUGAGGUGGAGGCACCUGCAACACAACCAGUUAAGAAACAAAACAACAAACAAGGGGAAGUUAGAACAUUAUGCAGGUUGCACUUUUCCAUGUAAACAAAGAAAAAAUACAAGAGAGUAAACCUAAGAAUUUGAAGUUGUAAGAAAUUGUGCAGGUUGCACUUUUGAGGUUUUCUUUGGUGCUUUGCGGU
This is a long non-coding RNA of Chenopodium quinoa (quinoa), 4987 nucleotides long. RefSeq lists it as uncharacterized. The transcript is spliced from 2 exons. NCBI's taxonomy places the organism in Eukaryota, Viridiplantae, Streptophyta, Magnoliopsida, Caryophyllales, Amaranthaceae. The record is from RefSeq and is a predicted model, not a curated record.